Molecule: non-coding RNA, 697 nt
Filed under: Aspergillus clavatus NRRL 1
Lineage: Eukaryota; Fungi; Ascomycota; Eurotiomycetes; Eurotiales; Aspergillaceae
Description: Eukaryotic small subunit ribosomal RNA
Rfam family: Eukaryotic small subunit ribosomal RNA
Source: Rfam by way of RNAcentral
UAUCUGGUUGAUUCUGCCAGUAGUCAUAUGCUUGUCUCAAAGAUUAAGCCAUGCAUGUCUAAGUAUAAGCAAUCUAUACGGUGAAACUGCGAAUGGCUCAUUAAAUCAGUUAUCGUUUAUUUGAUAGUACCUUACUACAUGGAUACCUGUGGUAAUUCUAGAGCUAAUACAUGCUAAAAACCUCGACUUCGGAAGGGGUGUAUUUAUUAGAUAAAAAACCAAUGCCCUUCGGGGCUCCUUGGUGAAUCAUAAUAACUUAACGAAUCGCAUGGCCUUGCGCCGGCGAUGGUUCAUUCAAAUUUCUGCCCUAUCAACUUUCGAUGGUAGGAUAGUGGCCUACCAUGGUGGCAACGGGUAACGGGGAAUUAGGGUUCGAUUCCGGAGAGGGAGCCUGAGAAACGGCUACCACAUCCAAGGAAGGCAGCAGGCGCGCAAAUUACCCAAUCCCGAUACGGGGAGGUAGUGACAAUAAAUACUGAUACGGGGCUCUUUUGGGUCUCGUAAUUGGGAAUGAGUACAAUUUAAAUACCUUAACGAGGAACAAUUGGAGGGCAAGUCUGGUGCCAGCAGCCGCGGUAAUUCCAGCUCCAAUAGCGUAUAUUAAAGUUGUUGCAGUUAAAAAGCUCGUAGUUGAACCUUGGGUCUGGCUGGCCGGUCCGCCUCACCGCGAGUACUGGUCCGGCUGGACCUUUCCUUC